ACAGAGGGUGCGAGCGUUGUCCGGAAUCACUGGGCGUAAAGGGCGCGUAGGCGGCUUGAUAAGGUUGCGGUGAAAGCCCGGGGCUCAACCCCGGGUCGGCCGUGGCAACUGUCGAGCUGGAGCACUGUAGAGGCAGGUGGAAUUCCUGGUGUAGCGGUGAAAUGCGUAGAUAUCAGGAGGAACACCUGUGGUGUAGACAGCUUACUGGACCACUUCUGACGCUGAGACACGAAAGCGUGGGUAGCAAACAGGA
This 253-nucleotide ribosomal RNA is filed under the name uncultured prokaryote. RNAcentral describes it as "partial 16S ribosomal RNA". It matches the Rfam family "Bacterial small subunit ribosomal RNA", at positions 525 to 777 of the family's 1533-position model. The record is from RNAcentral.